GUUCUCGUGUAAAAGAGGGGAGGACAGUUUAGGUUUAGCCGUGGAAGGAAAAGCCUACGGAAAAGAUCACGGUAACCUUGGUCAAUAUUCUCAUUGAAGAAACUAUAACAUUUCAGCUCAUGAGCUGUGGCCAUGCUGGGGCACCGCCAUUCGGUGUUGCUACAUAAUUUUACUUCACGAAUUUUACUUCAGGAAUUGACAUUUGGUGCAUGAAAGAAUUUGAUGCAGCUGCACUCAUCUGCACCUCCUACCGCGAAGUUGGUUCAUCUGGGACACUUGACAGGAAGAGGUCCAGCUUUAUAUAUGGAGAAAAGUGUGAGAAAAAGAGAAGCACAAGGCCCAAAAUUUGUGGGGAGGAGUACAGUCUAUUACAUCGACCCAAGUACUCAACUGGUACUUAAUUUAUCGACCCCGGAAGGACGAAAGGCAAAGACGACCUUGGCGGAACUUCAACUCAGAACUUAGCAUCAACAACAACAACAAUGACAACAAUCCACCAACAUAGAGAAAUAUAUCUUUGGUAAACUCGAAUAAGCCGGCAGCUCAAAAGCGAAGUAUACCUCCUCUCUGAACAGAAAUAUGUGCGAGAGAAUCGGUUUAGUUCAUCGAUAUAAAACGGGAUGAAACAACUUAAGCUCACCGACUUCUGAUUGCAUUAAAAAAUAUCUACGUAUGUACGAUUCAAAAUGGAAAUCAAA
This is a long non-coding RNA of Octopus bimaculoides (California two-spot octopus), 698 nucleotides long. RefSeq lists it as uncharacterized. The record is from RefSeq and is a predicted model, not a curated record. Lineage: Eukaryota; Metazoa; Mollusca; Cephalopoda; Octopoda; Octopodidae.